GAAAAUAAAGGCAAUGAAUGAGCCAAAAAACCUCAUUAUGCAUUGCUACUCACAAAUGACCACUUCAAAGAACAUGCAAGUAUGUAUGUCAUUAACAAUUGCAAACAUAAGUUUCUUUUUACUACAGAUGUUGUAUCUACUAUCACACAUUUCCUCAUUCUAUCCGUUCUCACUCAAUAAUAAGAAAAAGGAAAAGGAAAGAUAAAGAUAAUCUUCCGCAAUUGCACUUCGGUGUCAUGGAUUCAGUCUGCCGCUUCAACAUCUCAUUAUCUUGCAGCAACGGAAAUUUUCCCCAAAAUUACCUUUUGCAACUCUUCAAAUCUCUUCGUUGAAGCAAACAGUGAGGUAAACCUAUAAAUAAAAGAUUGUCCUAUAAGCAUUGCAGACUUCAAUCAUGGGAGAAUUAUAAGAGUGUACAAGGACAUAUACAAAAAAUGGAACCAACCUUUAAAAGUUUAUCUUGUAGCUCCCUAUUUUAGGCCAAUUCCGUGUCAUAUUGUGCGCAUAUGUGAUAACCUCGAGGUAAGAUCUCCGCACAAACCUUCCAACUCUGUCGCUAUCUUCUACCUAUGAAUGAAAACAGACCUUACUUGUUAGAGAAGCAAAUGUGAAACCUGAUUACAACAUGUAUGCUAAGUCACUAACCCAUAGAGGCAACUAGACCAAAUGUGAAAACUUCCCAUGUUGCCGAGGAAUUAUAUGAGCACCCCUCAAAACAUCAAUUAGCAAGUACUUGACACAAACAAACUUGUACAGAAAAAAGUAACACUUCCGAAUUUAAUAGGCUUCAAAGAUUGCAAGGAAGGCAUACUGAUGAGCUGCAAUGCAAUCUUCAAUGUUCAGUACUUGUACAUGCUAUUGCUCCUGCGGUGCAACCCCUAGCUCCUGUGGCUUCACAAAGUCUGACAUUGUAUAAGACGUUUUCAGCAAAGGGUGAAAUUGCAUACAUAUACAUCUCAAAUCAUAUGUAGUAUGUGUCUAGUCAUCCUACGAUUGCCCGAGCUCAGAACUGCAUUUCUUAUAAAAACUUUAGACAUGUUCAGGAAACACAUGUAGGAAACGACAAGUGUAUAGAUCACCCAUUUUUAUAGGUUCAAAGACAGAUAACAAAAAUUAACUAGACAAAGUUAGAUGACAGUGAAGCUUAAAGCUGCAGUAAGAAACAUUAGAUAUACACAUUUUGAAAAUCAAUCUCGGUGGAACAACAUAAGAUUGCAUUUAGAUUUCAGAAUUAAACAUAGGCAUAUCUCAUAGUUUAAAACAAAGGCACUCAACAGAAAAGUGCCUAUAAGAUUCCAAAAUAACUCAACAAGCUGCUUCAGCUAGCGUCAUAUGAGGGGAUAUAGAUGUAUAAAAUUUGAGAGAAAACCGAACUGGGAUAAAAAUUAAGACACAUCUAAUGUAGUUAUCGGCCAACGAAGAGACAAGCAAGUGGAACACUAAUUGCUAACGAGUGGAAAUAGAUACCGAACUGGGAUAAAAAACAAACAGUAGGAUCUACUUGUGGUAGUUGCCAUCCUCCGACACACGCUCCAAUCUGAAGGUAUAUGCAAAUAUACAUGUUUUACUGCAAAUCAUUAUGGCUCGCCUCCUUUUUGUUGAAGUUCCACAGUAGUUCCUCUACAUGUUCCAAAGUGUAAUUGUUCCAUGUAGAUUUUAGGUAAAGAGCAUAUACUAUGGAUGCAUACAUAGAUUAUUCUAGAGGUUCUUCCAUUUGGUCGAUGGCGGAUCACUGAAACUAAAUAGUGUUGUGGAAAGUAUUUAAUUUUUUGCCAGGAAAGAAAUUAUGGACACUGUUGUCUCUUAAGAGAAGGAUUUAUCUCUGUUGAAUGUUCUUGUGCUACUUUUGCCCAUCUUAAUUUCUUAGCCACACUGAAGAGUUCCCUGGUGUCACAAGCUUACACAAACUAUCUCAAAUAUAUGUGACUUACGGCUGUCUAGGUAUGCACCGGAGAUCAAAAUAAAUAAAUCAAGGUCUAUGUACAGAGCACAGCCACAUCCAAUCCAAUCGAUCCAGCCCUAGGAUCGAACUCUCCUCCUAACCCUAGCAACCAACGGGGGCACCAGCCAACACUGACGCUACCAGAAUCGCAUCAAUCACACGGCACCACAGAGGAAAAUGCAGCGCUGGAGGAGGGUGGGGUUACCUUGAGGAUGCCGAGCUUGACGGAGCCGUAGACGACGCCGCCGAAGGCGGAGACCCUGG
This 2206-nucleotide long non-coding RNA is filed under the name Triticum aestivum (bread wheat). Its description in RNAcentral is "long non-coding RNA (TAES_LNC018529)". The record is from RNAcentral. Lineage: Eukaryota; Viridiplantae; Streptophyta; Magnoliopsida; Poales; Poaceae.